This 494-nucleotide ribosomal RNA is filed under the name uncultured bacterium. RNAcentral's name for it is "partial 16S ribosomal RNA". It matches the Rfam family "Bacterial small subunit ribosomal RNA", at positions 28 to 507 of the family's 1533-position model. The record is from RNAcentral.
GACGAACGCUGGCGGCGUGCUUAACACAUGCAAGUCGAACGGAAAGGCCUGCUUUCCCUUGUGGAUUGCGGGUACUCGAGUGGCGAACGGGUGAGUAACACGUGAGUGAUCUGCCCCCAACUUGGGUAUAAGCCUGGGAAACUGGGUCUAAUUCCCGAUAGGACUGCAGGGUGGUGCCUGUGGUGGAAAACGAUUUUCUAGUGGUUGGGGAUGAGCUCGCGGCCUAUCAGCUGGUUGGUGGGGUAAUGGCCUACCAAGGCGGCGACGGGUAGCCGGCCUGGGGGGGUGGACGGCCACAUUGGGACUGAGAUACGGCCAAGACUCCUACGGGAGGCAGCAGUGGGGAAUAUUGCACAAUGGGCGGAAGCCUGAUGCAGCGACGCCGCGUGGGGGAUGACGGCCUUCGGGUUGUAAACUCCUUUCGACCGCGAGGAAGCCACCUGGUUGGAAGGGUGGUGACGGUAGUGGUAGAAGAAGCACCGGCUAACUACGUG